GUAUGUACUGGCUUCGCUGAUUCCUCCCUUCUGAAGAACUGUAAUGCCAUUAAUUUGGUGUUGCAGGGAAACAGGACUGUUACUUUGAAAAAAUUAGAGUGUUUAAAGCAGGCUAACGCUUGAAUACAUUAGCAUGGAAUAAUGAAAUAGGACGUUUGAUCCUAUUUUGUUGGUUUCUAGGAUUGACGUAAUGAUUAAUAGGGAUAGUUGGGGGCAUUAGUAUUCAAUUGUCAGAGGUGAAAUUCUUGGAUUUAUUGAAGACUAACUACUGCGAAAGCAUUUGCCAAGGAUGUUUUCAUUAAUCAAGAACGAAAGUUAGGGGAUCGAAGACGAUCAGAUACCGUCGUAGUCUUAACCAUAAACUAUGCCGACUAAGGAUCGGAUGAUGUUAAUUUUUUAAUGACUCAUUCGGCGCCUUACG
This 421-nucleotide ribosomal RNA is filed under the name uncultured Glomeromycotina. RNAcentral's name for it is "SSU rRNA". It matches the Rfam family "Eukaryotic small subunit ribosomal RNA", at positions 673 to 1092 of the family's 1831-position model. Lineage: Eukaryota; Fungi; Glomeromycota. The record is from RNAcentral.